This 465-nucleotide ribosomal RNA is filed under the name uncultured bacterium. RNAcentral describes it as "partial 16S ribosomal RNA". It matches the Rfam family "Bacterial small subunit ribosomal RNA", at positions 28 to 507 of the family's 1533-position model. The record is from RNAcentral.
GACGAACGCUGGCGGCGUGCUUAACACAUGCAAGUCGAACGGAAAGGCCCUGCUUGCAGGGUACUCGAGUGGCGAACGGGUGAGUAACACGUGGGUGAUCUGCCCUGCACUUCGGGAUAAGCCUGGGAAACUGGGUCUAAUACCGGAUAGGAGCCAUUUUUAGUGUGAUGGUUGGAAAGUUUUUUCGGUGUAGGAUGAGCUCGCGGCCUAUCAGCUUGUUGGUGGGGUAAUGGCCUACCAAGGCGGCGACGGGUAGCCGGCCUGAGAGGGUGGACGGCCGCAUUGGGACUGAGAUACGGCCCAGACUCCUACGGGAGGCAGCAGUGGGGAAUAUUGCACAAUGGGCGCAAGCCUGAUGCAGCGACGCCGCGUGGGGGAUGACGGCCUUCGGGUUGUAAACUCAUUUCGCUAGGGACGAAGCUUUUUGUGACGGUACCUAGAUAAGAAGCACCGGCUAACUACGUG